AACGCACAUUGCGCCCCUUGGUAUUCCGAGGGGCAUGCCUGUUCGAGCGUCAUUACACCACUCAAGCUCUGCUUGGUAUUAGGCGUCCGUCUGUCUGAAAAGGCAGGCGCGCCCCAAAACCUUCGGCGAAGUCUUACCGACUUUGGGCGCAGUAGAAUUUCUAACAACGCUCUUUGGGUCGGUACGGUCUUUUGCCGCUAAAUUGAAUAUUACAUUCAUUUUUUCUUAGGUUGACCUCGGAUCAGGUAGGGAUACCCGCUGAACUUAA
RNAcentral lists this unclassified non-coding RNA (268 nucleotides) under uncultured fungus. Its description in RNAcentral is "partial contains 5.8S ribosomal RNA, internal transcribed spacer 2, and large subunit ribosomal RNA". The stretch from base 1 to 52 matches the Rfam family "5.8S ribosomal RNA", at positions 103 to 154 of the family's 154-position model. Lineage: Eukaryota; Fungi. The record is from RNAcentral.